CAUCAAGAGGCUCUUUAGUUCUUCUUCGCUUUCUACCAUAAGGGUGGUGUGGUGUCAUCCUGGAGGAAACUUCUUCAUGUCGAGGAUGGGGGUGGAGUGGAGUGACAGAAGUCCUCUGUCUGAUCCUUUUGUCUGUCCCACUGGUCUUUACUGGUCCCUAAGCCUGUAUGCUUUUGCAAAUGAAAGUUAGGAACACUCCUUUGGUUUUCCUUUCUGCUGAUCAAAUCCUUCCCCUGAAGUAAUGGAAGAAAGGCCUAACUGCUUGAAUGGAGGGGAGAAGGAGGGAAGCGGAGAUUGUGACCAUGUGAAAUAUUAAAUAUUAAGUUACACAUAAAAAUGUACUUUAAUAUUUAAACCACUAACCCCACCACACCAAAUGAAGGAUAUCCUCACACUGAGCAGUGGUUAAAGUGUUUUAUUAAAUUAAGUAUGUAAUUUGCAAAUGGUUUCAUAAGAAAUUUUAAAAGCAAAGUUAUAAAACAGUUUCAAUAAAAAAGUACAGUUAACAGCAAAAUUACAUUUUCUUUAUAGUACAAAUAAAAGGAUUUUGUUUCUAAUAGACUGUUUGAAGAUCUUAUAAUAUAUUCUCCAAUUGACAGUUGCAAUAUUAUAUUUUAAUGAGAAAUCUCAUGGUUAAUUCUCAAUCAUAUGUUAAUAAAUGGGUUCAUCAUUUGGACCAUAAAAGUCAUUUUCUCAACUUUAAGGAAAACAAAGAGACAUUAAGUAACACUGUAAACUUGAAUUACAUUUAAAAAUAAGCACCAUUUACAUACAUUCUACCUAAACUUACUUUACGUUUUAAACGACAAGGUUUUUUGGCCACACAAAACAUUUAAAUCUGUUUUCUUUACCAUGUAAAUAAAAAUAAGCAAUAUUUAACCACAACACAGAAAAAUUAUCAAACUUCACCUCAAUUGCACAAUGAAAAAGCAAUUGGAAAAAACAGCACACAUUAUUUUUGUGUCUUUUUUAUACAUUUUGUCAUUUUCUUAAAUUGAGAGCAGUUAAAACAUUGUCAGAGCAAUUUCCUGAGUUUCAAAGUUUCCAAUUUCCAGCUCAGAAACAACCAAUCUUGCUAUUAUACACGUCUUUUUUUCUAAGCAUACAAAACACGUGAAUUUUAAAAGGACAAAAUAAAGGAUUGGAAACAAUCCAACAGAAUUAUUUAGCUUUCUCUCCAAAAUGUGUUAUAAUACACCAGACACUUUAAAGUGUUAAGUCGGGGUUUCUACUAUACAGUAUGUCCCACAUUUGAAGGCCUUAGAAUUGCAGGCAGUACUGAAACACUAAUACACUGAAGAAACCUCAACUUGAAAUAAUAUAGAGAUACAUGAACAGCCAAUAAAUGUAAGACAAAAUACUUCCAUUUCUCAUGUUUAAGGAAGGAAAUGAACAGACUGAAAAUACUGUUAAAAGUUCCCUCUGUCCAACCCCACUUUCCCUGUGGUUUCCAUAUUAGUGCUCAUCUUCCCCUGGGAGACACUGGUAAG
Molecule: long non-coding RNA, 1490 nt
Filed under: Capra hircus (goat)
Lineage: Eukaryota; Metazoa; Chordata; Mammalia; Artiodactyla; Bovidae
Description: lncRNA (ENSCHIG00010007476.1)
Source: RNAcentral